Syngnathoides biaculeatus (alligator pipefish) is the source of this 672-nucleotide long non-coding RNA. RefSeq lists it as uncharacterized. The record is from RefSeq and is a predicted model, not a curated record. Lineage: Eukaryota; Metazoa; Chordata; Actinopteri; Syngnathiformes; Syngnathidae. The transcript is spliced from 3 exons.
UGCAUUGGAUUUUGCCAAACCAGUCUACAUGUGAUUUGUGGACUUAGGGAAGGCUUUCGAUCUUGUCCCUCGGGGAGUCCUGUGGGCCGAGCUUCGGGAGUAUGGGGUACUGAACCCCCUGAUAUGGGCUACUUGGUCCUUGUACAAUCGGUGUACAUUAUUAUCCAAUUAGUGUGGGGCACGGUGGAGUGACUCGUUAGAAUGUUAGCCUCAUAGUACUGAGGCCAUGGGUUCAAAACCUGACUGCACCUGUGUGGAGUUCGCACAUUCUCACCAUGGCUGCUGCCCUGCGAUUGGAUUGCAAACAUUUCAGGGUGUAUGACGCCUCCUGCCCGAAGUCAGCUGGGAUAGGUUUCAGCACUGCUGCGACCCUGGCCCUUGUUGUAGUGGUGAAUAUAUUUAUCAACAUUUCUUGACAAAGUAGCAUUAAUAUUGACAAAAGACACACACCAACAUCAGGAGAUGCACUAUGAUUUAAACCACUAACAAAGUCUGUCUUUAAGAUAUUCCUUGAGGAUGAUUAAGCAAGCUGUAGAUCAACAUGCGCAAAGCUAUUCUUCUCGCCCCUCUCUUCCCCCUCCCACCUCUGUGACCUCCGUCAGGAACAACAUGAUUUAUCACACCAAUAUCCCCUUCAGCACUUUCCUGAUUGCUUUGAUUCCUCUAUUGACA